UACGUAGGGGGCAAGCGUUGUCCGGAAUUAUUGGGCGUAAAGCGCGUGUAGGCGGCCCGAUAAGUCCGCUGUGAAAGUCCAGGGCUCAACCCUGGAAUGCCGGUGGAUACUGUCGGGCUCGAGUCCGGAAGAGGCGAGUGGAAUUCCUGGUGUAGCGGUGAAAUGCGUAGAUAUCUGGAGGAACACCGGUGGCGAAGGCGGCAUCCUGGACCAAUAUUGACGCUGAGGAGCGAAAGCUAGGGGAGCAAACGGG
RNAcentral lists this ribosomal RNA (253 nucleotides) under uncultured bacterium. Its description in RNAcentral is "partial 16S ribosomal RNA". It matches the Rfam family "Bacterial small subunit ribosomal RNA", at positions 524 to 776 of the family's 1533-position model. The record is from RNAcentral.